RNAcentral lists this ribosomal RNA (250 nucleotides) under uncultured bacterium. RNAcentral describes it as "partial 16S ribosomal RNA". It matches the Rfam family "Bacterial small subunit ribosomal RNA", at positions 779 to 1034 of the family's 1533-position model. The record is from RNAcentral.
UAGAUACCCUGGUAGUCCACGCCCUAAACGAUGAUAACUCGAUGUUUGCGAUACACAGUAAGCGUCCAAGCGAAAGCGUUAAGUUAUCCACCUGGGGAGUACGGUCGCAAGAUUGAAACUCAAAGGAAUUGACGGGGGCCCGCACAAGCGGAGGAGCAUGUGGUUUAAUUCGAUGAUACGCGAGGAACCUUACCCGGGCUUGAAAGUUAGUGAAUGAUCCAGAGACGGAUCAGCCUUCGGGACACGAAAC